UGACCCAAAAGCAGCCACGGUGCCUCUUUCUU
RNAcentral lists this non-coding RNA (32 nucleotides) under Mus musculus (house mouse). The record is from RNAcentral. Lineage: Eukaryota; Metazoa; Chordata; Mammalia; Rodentia; Muridae.